AUGUUGAUCGUUAAUUUACACAGAGGAUUCAGCUAUUCGGCAGUACAGAUUUGAACCUAGGCAGUCAGACUCCACAGAUCUUGCUAAUAAAUAGACAUUGUUUUGUGGUGUAAGAUGUUUUGGUCAAAUAACUUUUUUGGGCUUUAGAAGGCUGGAUAUUUAUGUAAGGAGCAUAACAAAGGUAAAUCUAUUUUGGUCUCUUUAGAUUUCUUCGCAAGACUAUGGAAAGGAAGUGGACCUCUACGCUUUGGGGCUAAUUCUUGCUGAACUUCUUCAUGUAUGUGACACUGCUUUUGAAACAUCAAAGUUUUUCACAGACCUACGGGAUGGCAUCAUCUCAGAUAUAUUAUUUGAUAAAAAAGAAGUAAGCACUUGAAAAUCAUCAGAAUUUUAUUUAUUUCAAUGUUUUAUUUCUUACUAUUGACUCUCACUGUCAUUGCAGAAAACUCUUCUACAGAAAUUACUCUCAAAGAAACCUGAGGAUCGACCUAA
RNAcentral lists this small RNA (492 nucleotides) under Pan troglodytes (chimpanzee). Its description in RNAcentral is "retained intron". Lineage: Eukaryota; Metazoa; Chordata; Mammalia; Primates; Hominidae. The record is from RNAcentral.